UUCAAUUAGGAUUCAAAAAUUUUGUUGAAAAUUUGACAAGAUACAUGAUGAAUAUUUUGAUUUUGACUGACACUCUCGAAGGGAGAAAAAAUCAAAAACCAUAGCUUUGGGGUUCUUCGAAUUCUAAAUAAAUCUCACUAUGAAUGACGAUCAGAUGGUGAAAGUCGUGGACAAGAAGGUCACAAUUGAAGAACUUGUACUUUUUUUCGAAUGAAGAUUGACAAAAAAAAUUUUAGAAUAGUAUUAUGUUUUCGAUACAUUAUUUUGAAAUUAUAGAUUUUCAAUUUUUUUAUUUUUUUCAUUUUUACCUUGAUAGAACAUUACAAUUAAUUAUCAGGUGAAAUUCUGAUACAAUAAAUUGAAAUGUUAAUAUUU
Solanum lycopersicum (tomato) is the source of this 375-nucleotide long non-coding RNA. RefSeq lists it as uncharacterized. Lineage: Eukaryota; Viridiplantae; Streptophyta; Magnoliopsida; Solanales; Solanaceae. The record is from RefSeq and is a predicted model, not a curated record.